RNAcentral lists this unclassified non-coding RNA (388 nucleotides) under uncultured fungus. RNAcentral describes it as "partial contains ITS1, 5.8S rRNA and ITS2". The record is from RNAcentral. Lineage: Eukaryota; Fungi.
AACGCACCUUGCGCUCCCUGCAGAUCUAAUCUGGGGAGCAUGCCUGUUUGAGGGCCGCGAAUUGUUUCGAACGACACCUUUUUUUUUUUAACGAAGAGGGUGACGGAUCGGUAUUGAGGAUUUUUGCCAUUCACCGUGGCUUCCUCGAAAAGCAUUAGCGCAUCCAUUCAAUAGGCAAGACGGACGAAAGCUCGAAUUUCGCCCUGUUCUUCCCUGCCGGGUUUUGAUAAUAUCAGGACUUCGGAGGCGGAGAGAGGGUUCAAGCUGGACGCAACGUUUUGCUGGUUGGAGUGCUUCUAACCCCGCCCAUGACUGGUCCUUCGGGAACAGGAAGGGAUUUUUUUCAAUUCAUCGGCCUCAGAUUGGUAGGACUACCCGCUGAACUUAA